GCUCCCGUAGCUCAAUUGGAUAGAGCGGCAGACUUCUAAUCUGUAGGUUGCAGGUUCGAUUCCUGCCGGGGGCGCCA
RNAcentral lists this transfer RNA (77 nucleotides) under bacterium. RNAcentral's name for it is "tRNA-Arg". It matches the Rfam family "tRNA". Rfam says of the family: Transfer RNA (tRNA) molecules are approximately 80 nucleotides in length. Their secondary structure includes four short double-helical elements and three loops (D, anti-codon, and T loops). The record is from RNAcentral. RNAcentral also lists the same sequence under 1 other name.